GACGAACGCUGGCGGCGUGCUUAACACAUGCAAGUCGAACGGAAAGGCCUCUUUCGGGGGGUACUCGAGUGGCGAACGGGUGAGUAACACGCGAGUAACCUGCCCUUGUCUUUGGGUUAACUUACGGAAACUGGGGCUAAUACCGGAUAGGAGCUCCUGCUGACCGGUGGGGGUUGGAAAGUUUCGGCGGUUGGGGAUGGGCUCGCGGCGUAUCCGCUUGUUGGUGGGGAAGUGGCUUACCAAGGCCUUGACGGGUAGCCGGCCUGAGAGGGUGACCGGCCACAUUGGGACUGAGAGGCGGCCCAGGCACCUACGGGAGGCAGCAGUGGGGAAGAUUGCACAAGGGGUGGAAGCCUGAUGCAGCAGCGCCGUGUGCGGGAUGACGGCCUUCGGGUUGUAGACCGCUUUCGCUCAUGACGAAGCUUUGUGUGACGGUAGUGGGUAAAGAAGCACCGGCUAACUACGUG
This 467-nucleotide ribosomal RNA is filed under the name uncultured bacterium. Its description in RNAcentral is "partial 16S ribosomal RNA". It matches the Rfam family "Bacterial small subunit ribosomal RNA", at positions 28 to 507 of the family's 1533-position model. The record is from RNAcentral.